UGUGCCAGCCACAGCCCUCAUGUGACAGCCACAGCCCUCAUGUGACAGCCACAGCCCUCAUGUGACAGCCACAGCCCUCAUGUGACAGCCACAGCCCUCAUGUGCCUUCCAGCCCUCUUCGAGACACAAGCAGCCCCAGGCUCACUCUGCUUCCACAGGCAAUUUAAUUCAUGAAAAAGAUGACCUGACUGUGAUGUUUAGCUGCCUCUGGAUAUCACUGAUUGAGUACUGGAGAAAGAGCAUCUUCACUAGCCUUGCCCUCUACCAGAGAUAAUCAGCCCAGCUCAUUAGAGAAGCUGUCCACGCCAGAGAUUUGCUAUUUAUUUGUCAAGCCAGAGUGUUAUUCCUGGAUAUUACUUCAACAGCAGCCCUUCUAUAUAUCACCACUUCCAUAAAAUGCUUUACAUCACAACAAAGAGUUUCCACAGUGACUGGUCCUAAUACUCUUGAGCUAUAUUUGAUACUCAGCUUGAGGUCAGUCAGAGGUUUUCAUGGGAAGCCAUAUGUCACUUUCUAAAGAAUGGUGUUUCUUCAGAUCUCUUCAGGUGGAAGAUCUCUUCAGCUUUCUUCAGCUUUCUUCAGAUCUCUUCAGCUUUUAUACAUGGAGCCACUAAGGAAAAACUGUAAUCCCAGAUUUUUAAUAAUGGGUACCUACGGAAAGAAUGUCCCCAUAUUAACAGACCUACAUGAGCAGAUCUAGGACCUAUGUUAAUUCCUUGGACACGAGGAAAGUUCACUGUCCUACAGGUGCAGAACAUCACAGCAGCUAACAUGGAUUAACAGAAACACCAAGAAACCCCAAGAAACCCCCCCUGCACUUCUGAUGGGAAGGUUCAUGGCCCACAGUUCUGGAUUACUCUCCUCCUGAAAUACCUCUUUUUUCAUCCAAAGAACGGGAGGGAAAAGUAAGGAUUUGUACUCAUGGCAAUAUUUGAUUAGUUUAACACCUGUUCACUGGAAAUUAGACAGUAGGUGGAUUUUUUUUAUUGAGACUGCUGCAUGGCCAUCUGAACAUAAAGAUUUUUACCACUUCUGACUUGAGUCUGGUAUAAACAGCUGUCCUAGAACAGAAUGACUCCACUUUACAUUAACAUACCUUUGCCUCAUGCCUGGAUUUCCUUUUUGUAAGGUUUUCUACCUGGAGGUGCUUAGAGAGGCAGCAGCAGAGUUAUUUUUAUUUAAGAGAGAUUCAAGAAAUAUAUCAGGAAAUAUAUUGAAAAAAAAAAGGAGAAACAACAAUCUAAAAGAAAAGUCAUUUUCCAAUAGUAAAGCUAAACAAGUGCUCCCUAACUACUAACUGCACAUGCUGCUCUCAUGAAAGAACAGUGAGACCAUUUGCUGCUAUUUCCUAGGUAACAAUCGUACAUACAGAAAUAAAUCCCACUGAAUUCUUGUGAAUUAGCCUUAAAAAAUAGAUUACCCAUGAAUACAAUCCAUACUAUAAGUCAUGCUGUGCAAAAGCUGAAGGAAUUAGUAAGGUAUUCUUAGUUCUUUGAUAAGGUGCAGCAGCAGCCUGUGCUACCUUAGUGACUUAGAGGGAAAGGAAGAGUUUUUCAAAUACACUUGUUGCAGAAAUGGGGAUUUGUUAACCUUAUACCACUUACAUUUUAAAAGUACAGAUAAUUAUAAACAAGGUAAGAAAACCCUACCAAAUGGGUUUAAGUGGGAUAUUUAUAAGGUCUCUUUUUUAUUUUUUUUCUUAGCAGCUAAAUAUGUACUACACAACUUUAAUGAGGCAGCACAAACAGGAACUAUCUCAAAAGACAUUCACCCAGAGAUAACACAAUCCAAUUUCUGUUUGGUUCAGAAUUUAACUCACAGUAGCAAACACUUAUCCUGUUUAAUUAAAAGAAACAUUCAUAUAAGGAACAUGAAGUUCUUGAAUAUGAAUUUAAAUGUAACAGCCUAAGAAAGCAGUUAAGAUUAAGAAUGGACUACAAUUACAAAUUAAAUUAUCUGCAAUCCUUACACAUCAGAAAAUUCAAUAGCUGUACAAAUAUUAUAAUCUUUGAAUACCAGGUAUCAGAUCUCAGCCAAUGCAAUCUGUUCUGGAUCUGUCUGUGUAUAAGGAGCCUAAAAUUAUUCAUACUGGAGUUUGAAAAUCCUUCAAAUCCUUCAGUAACAUUUGUGGUUAUAUGACUCCUUCCAUGACAAAGCAAAAUAUGGUUCUAUUCUGAAAUAGCUCAGUAGGUUUGUUCUGCCAGUGUUUAGCCAGAUUCUGUCACUUUGCUACCAGUUUCUUAGAUUUCACUAAAACUAAGGCAUAAAGCUUAAAUUUUUCUUUCCUUCCAGGCAUAUCAAGGAGGUGUCUGGGAACAACCAGACAAAGUUAUCAGGAAUGAAUCAUAUUUUACCAGCCUGAUUGCCUUCUACCAGUCACCUGUCAGCUGGGAUGACUGCUAGGGUGGGUGAUGGGAGAACUGUGGAUGUUAUUUAUCUUGGAUUUAUUAAGGUCUGUGAUGUAUUUUCAUACAGCAACCCUAGAGCUAAAUUAGAGAGAUAUAGACUAGGAGAACAGAUAGUAAAUAGGCUUGAAAAUUGUCUGGACAGCCAAGCUCAAAAAUUAAUCUCCAGACUUCAAAGUCCAUCUAGUGGCCAGUAAUCAGACAAACUAAUUCUUCAGGAGCCAGAACUGGAACCAAUCAUGUCCAGGAGUUUUCAUUAAUUACCUGGAUUGUAGGACAGAAAGUGCUCUCAGAAAGUUUGCAGAUGACACCAAACUGGGGAAAAUAGUAAAAUACAGUGGGGAGCAAGGCUUUAAUUCAGAAGGACGUCAGUAAGGUAGAGAAUUUCACUAAAUUCAGCAAAAUCAGAAAGAGAUCCUGGGAUGCACCUGGGAUGGGACAGCCCAAUUCACAAGAUACAGGAUAGGAAUGAUUGAUCAGGGAGUAGCUUUACCAAAAAAAUCCUUUGAGUCCUGGUGGACAAAUUCAACAUGACCCAGAAAUGGGCUCUUGAAGCACCCUGGGCUAGUGGAAGUGCAACCAGGAGAUGCAGGAGGGUGGUCCUUCACCUCUGCUCAACACAUGUGAGAGAACAUCUGGAGCUCUGUGCAGUUUUGGGCUCCCCAGUACAUGGAAGACAGGAACAUCCCAGAGCAAGCCCAGUGCAGGCCAGGGUGGUCCAGGGGAUGGAGCACUUGGCAGAGGGGACCAGCUGAGAGAUGAGAGUUUGUUAAGCCCAGAUAGGGGACAGGUCAAGGGACCCACUGCACUCUAAAGUUAAUUAAUGGCAGGAUGUGAAGACAGACAAUUCUCAAAGAUGAGCAGUGGAAAGAUGUAAGACACAGUGGGCAUGUUGGAGUACAUAAAUUAGACACUGGAGCAGAGAUCCAGAACUCCAUCCUUGAAGGUAUUCAAAUUUCAGCAGGGCAGCCUUGUCUGGCUGACUCUUUUAUGAGUAAGAACUGGACCAGUAGGCUUCCAGAAGCCCCUCCAAGCCCCGUGAUGACCAUGUGAUUCUUGCUCUGGAUUCAGCAAACAAAAGGGCUCAAUCAGGUAUAUCUCAGUGUAUCAGCACCUUGGUGUUUCUACCUAAACUGACAACAGAAUUGUUUUCUAAAAUUCUGUUUUGUGUUACCCUGAAAAAUGGGCUCUGUCUGCUGAAAUGAUCAUUGCCCCCCGUUUACUACACCUAUCUGAUCAUGUGUAUCCUCUUCCUGCUGCCUCCUAAGCUAAUUAAUUAAAAAGGUACCAAACCACCACAAGAAUGAGGAAGACAAAUGUGAAAAGAUCCAGAGAUGCUCACAGAACCACACAAAAAGUUUUGGGGAAAUCUUAGAAUUCUACAUAUGCUCCCUGAAUCUUUAGUGUAACCCCAAACUUUCAGGUGUUCUUUCUUCUUCAGGAGGUGGACAUAAUUUUGCAAAGGUAAAGCAACUUCUGAAAAUCCACAGUUCUCUCAAAUUACCCAAAAAGAAGGCAAUUUAGUGCAGGUUAUUGUAAGUGACGUUGUGUGACUACCAUGGCCAGGUGUAGGACUAGAAAAUGAAGGUAGGAAUGAAAGUAAUGCAAAAGCAAAGUGGAAGAAGCACCACAGGACAUUGCACAUACAGCAGGUCCCCAUCAUACACUUCCAUAGAAUUUCCAGAGUCCAGUCUCAUUUUAAGCUUUGUAUUUUGAAUCAGCCAACCAGUCAAGGAUGCUCAUAGUCUGAGUGCAUCUGUUUUAAAACAGAAUCCAUGGGUUUUGACUCUGCCUUUCAAAGGGGUGACUGGCCCAGCCAAAUGAAUGUGUAGCCCCAUCCCUUUCACAGCACCAGGUAAUGUGAAAGGCUCUUUAAGGUAAGCUUGCAGCUGUUAGCUAGCAGUGAUAAAUGCCUUGAGUGCAUUGCUGUGAAUAUAUUAUCCUCACCCUCUGAUUCCCACAAUAAAUUAAAAGCUGGAUCUGUUCAAAUUGUAUGUGUGUGGGGAGAAAGUUCAAAAUCAGCAAGGUGUGACUGUAUUUUAAAGUUAAAUUUGUAGGUAGUUCUCAUUUAAAGUUUUAUGGGCUUGCAAAGAUUGGAUAAUAUGACAGAACAGUUAGGAGAGGAUUGGGAAUCCUAUUUGCAGUUCUCCAGCAGGCUCAGUCCUCGGGCUGAUCUGCUAAUAAAGGCAACCCUUGGACCAUGGAAGAACUACUGAAGCAAAGCAAGGUGUAAUGGCCAGAUGCAGUAUUAAUACCAAUUGUGAAUUACAUAUUAUUUAGGCCAAGCAGUGCUAUAAAAAAGGAUAUUUCCAGUGCUAGCUAAAUGAGGGGAGAGAAGAGGAAACUGCUGACUUUAAACAUGACUUGGUAUGCUUGGUUUCUCUGUCUAUGAACAACAGGAAAAAAUAUACAUUUCUUACUUAAACUUCUUGAUACAAAGAAAGCAGGCCAACAUCUCAAUAAAUAUCAUUGUAAUACAUGAAAGACUGCUUAAUUGUUUCAAAAAAAGAUGAAAUACUACUAGGAAUUCAGUUAGAGCAAGGCAGAGACCAAGAAUGGUGGGAAGUGGAACCAGGACAAUGAGGAGGAAGCUUAGAACUGAACUAUCACUCAAAUACCUGUAGUAUUUGUACUAUGUACUCAAUAUAUGUGGCAUUAAGGUUAAUCAUCAGCUUGGGGGCUUGUAAUGAAUCCCUUGGCACUCAUAGAGGGACCUGUCCAGCCUGUGGUUGGAGACAAAGGAAACAUCCUUAGCCAAGGCAAUUCACCUCAGUGUACUCUGGUAUUUCUCUCCACCAAGGAAACAGAAGGCUCCCCUAAACGAUGGGGUCUGUGUACUUAUUGUAUAGUAAACUUUUAAGACUCUUCCUGUGCACAAAAAGGAAUUUGCACCAGACUUCUAUGAAAAAAUAUUCCCAGCUCUAAGCAAGCAAGAUAGGAGAAAUGCUAUGGGAUAAAGAUUUGAAACAGUGCACAAAGCACCAAAGCUAUAAAAUCCUAGUUAAUAUACAUGAGAAAAUAAUUAGUAUGCAUUGAAGCCUUGGGAAGAAAGCAGAUGCACAAGCAUUUUUACUGUAGAUAAACACAGUGUGGCUGCUGCUGAGUGCAAAAUAGAGAAGAUAACUUUUUUUCUUCUUAUUCCUCGUCAUGCUUGAUGAUCUUGCAGCAGUUUGGGAUGGUAAUUAAGUAACAAACUCAUGGAAAUUAAUGUUUUACCUAGUCCAUUUAAUCUCAUUCCCAGGAUGUGAAUGUAUGGGAUGAAAUCAAGUAUCCCUGUGGUGUCCCUGUGGUCUGAAAGAUACUGUUGCUCUAUGCUGAGAAAAGAUGCAGAUAUAAAGAUUCUCCACAUUUAGGUUAUGAAAAAUUCCUGUGGAGGGUGUGGAGAGGUUCUGUACUAAAAAUCUGUAAUAAACUCUGGGAGUCUUCAAUGCUGUUAUAAAAGGUAAUAAGAGGUAAUAAUUUUAAUGAAAAGUAAGAACAAUAGUAAUUUCCUUUGCUCUCUCUGUUUUCCUUGUUUUUACUCCAUUGUUCAUUAGUGGUCUUUUGAGGGUGGUUGAAGACCAUCCUCACAGACUUCCAGCCUUUUGAAGGAAAAGUGGAUAAAUUACUCUAGCCCCAGAAAAACCUAUGGAGAAAACAAUUUUCUUUGCCUUUUCCAGAAAAUUAAUGUGCAGGCUACACCAGGAAUAGAUUCUCUGAGAAGCUGCUGUUAUCUUGGUAUUUGAGCUUACUAUAGAUAUUGACAACAUAUGGAGUCAAAUAUAAUCUUUACCACUUCUCUUGACUGUUAAAAUUGGAUCCAUAACUAAAAAGGGGUUCAGCCAUAGUAGCUGCCUUCUCAUCUGGCACUUACAGAACAUGCUAAGCAGAAGCAGGAUCUGACUUGUUUCAAGACUUGAAGUGCAAGAGAGUCAUUGUUUGCCGUAGUAGUGGGAAAUUUUAAAAACAGAGAUCAAAAGAUGCAGCCUGUGGUACACUGAAAUAAUUAAGAAAUAUGGAAAAGCAAAAAAAGGAAUUCAAAGUUUGGUCUAUUCUCUGUCAUUGUUGAAGAUAAAUCAAAGAGAAAGGAAAUUUAGGGUCAGACUGUAGCUUACACCGAGAAUUAAGGUGAUUGAUUUUAUAUCAUUUGCAAGUGCUCAUGUUUGAAACCCAAAUUAAGUCUUGAGGUCAGGAGCUUCCAUCGACUCUCCUCUUGUCUGAUGAGGCUGCCCAACAUCCAACACACCCAGAGCUCAGUUCUCCCCAUUCAUGGCUGCUGGCAGGCACUGGAAGAAAGGUACAAACCAGCAGAGACAAAGGGCUUUUGUGUGGAAAAAAGAAAGAGAUAAAAUGUGAUUCUUGGAGAGAUUGUAUAAAUCUGACCAUAUCUCUAAUUUCUUAGCAGCACUGGGAGGGGGAGCAGCAUCAGAGUUUGAAUAGAAGAUAUUGCCCAGUCUCCUGUGAAAAGCUUUGCCUGUGCCACCCACAGUCCUGCUGAAAACCAGCUCUGAAAUGCAAUCACUCGUCUUGCCAAAAGCAUUCUCUUCCCCACAGUAGUCCAAACCUUCCUUCUCUCUCCCCUUGUCAUUAAGCAAACAUUACAAACCCAUUCAGCACUUUCUAUUGUUGCCAGAAGAGCAUUUCUGCUACAGACUUAGGCAGCAGAAGAGGUACAAGUAGCCACAUGUUCAUCAGACACCUUAGUUUACACUCCUUCCAAAGCCAGCACGUAUCUGAGAGCUCAUCCAUUUUUAAAACAAAUUACACAUCACUUAUGACUUCUACCAAAACUGAAGCAAAGCUCAGCAGGACUGAUCAAUUCUCAGCAAGGACUAAAUAGCAUGGUGAGAGAUUUCUAAUGCCUGUUUAAAGGGCUUUUUAAAAAUAUACAUAUGGAUACCUUUAGCUAGAACAUUUCAUCAUGAGUAUCUAAAGACAAACUGCAGUUGUCAAAAUCAGAGGACAAAGGACUUUUUUUGUGAUUUUUAUUGUUUUGUGAUAAAUUUGUCACUUGCACACAGAGUAUCAUAUCUAUCUUAUUUUACUGAUAUUUCAGGGCACGUUGUACCAUACAGGAGCUGAAUUCCGCAUUCUUUGUGCCCCUUCAAAUAUCAAGACAAAUUUUUCCUGCUGCUCUGGCAAACAAAGAAUUUUCCAGUAUCUUGAAAUAAAAAUGGAAAAAAAACUAAACAGGUGAAAGAGGAAAAGAGCUAUCUCAUGGUCUUUGUGUAUGUAUUACAAAGAAGAAACCACAAUUUUAAUUCAAGUUGCUGUUAGAUGCAACUGGAAUUGAAGUUCAGUAACUCUUCCAAAUAUUACCUAAUGUGCAUUUGCUCUGGGGAAAACAUCUACCUCAAAAUAUCAGUGGAACAAAAAAGUAAUAGCACACAUACAUUUAAAAUCAAUGUCUCUGCAGACAGCAUCCACUCCCCAUUGUCUGCACUUUGGCUUGGGAAGUCUCUAUUUUCCUCAGCCCUCCCCUGUAGAGGGUAGGAAAUUGUUACAGUUGAUCUGGGACAGAGAGAGAAUAUUCUUCACUGUGUUCCAGUUUUGUGUAACCAGUUUAUGUGGACUGGGAAACUCACACUUCACGGAUGUAAGCUGCUCUAAAUCCCCCAAAACCAAAAGAAAUCUUUUCAUUGACUUCAGUGGUUUUGUAUCCAGUUCAUACUCUACAGUGCAAUCUGUAUUUCCCACUCAGAUCAAUAAAACACAAAGCAAAAUAUUCACUAUGUCGUGUAAUCCAUCCUGUUCCAGCUCUGUAACAGACAAAUGAGAUGUCCUUUAUUGAAGCUCACAAUGAAUAAAUGAGACUUUCUGCAAGUUUUAUAUGUUCAUCAAUGUUCAUUACUUCUCAAUUGAUUUUCUAAGGUCUGAGAUAUUCUUCUACCUGCAUUUAAUAUAUGACCUUAGUUUAGUUUUUUUGACUGCAGUUGAAAGUCUCCUGGCUCUGAUUCCAGGCUGAAAGUUCCCUAUUUUUUUUGUGACUUCAAGAUGAAAUAGUACUAACUGCAUCCUUCACUAAAGAAGAGUGGAUACCUUGUAACUCAUCAAAAUUUUAUAGGCAAAUGAAUGAGCUUACUGAACAGAAUAUCUCUACCAGUAAAAAAUUUCAAUUUAGUAAACAGAAUAUUCACAGAAAGCAAAAACUGAAUCCACCCAUAGGGUUGAAAUUGAGAAAUCCUUUUUUAUUAAUCUUGUGGUUGAAUCAGGGAACAAAAAUGGUGGCACUAUGAGUGACACAAAUAAUUUAAUUGUCUUAAAAUUUCAAAGCCAAACAUUCAGGAUGGCUGACUUGCAUUUUUCAGAUCAAAAGUUGCAAGAAUUAUUAAUUAACUAUUUUGAAAUAUAAGUUAAUUUCCACUUUUUUAAUCCACCAUACAGUUUGUUGAGGUCACUGAUGUAAAUGCAUAUCAGUAAGAAAAAUGGCAGGUUUCCAUACAAAGUGAACCUUAGGGAAGUAUUUAGUGGCCUGCUGGGUCAGACUGUAUCAGAAUAUCUGAGUCUUGUUCAGACUCCAUGAUUUAACAUUUUUUAACAUUUUCCUGAGCUGCUGUUCCAUCUGCCCUGGGAAACAGGUCUUACCUGGGACUUGGAGCAGCAGCAGUGAAGGAAUAUCUGUUGUCUCAAUUCCCAGCAGAGAGGCUGAGAGUGUGACAAGGUGCUGCAGGGACAGGGGACCCUUCCCAGCAGUGCAGCUGCUGCCCACCCCUCCUAAUCUGCUGCUGAAAUGGCCAGAGCUGAGAACACUCACUUCCCAAACCUUCACUGUCCAGUGGAUCACUGAAAUUAUUUGAAUUUACCAUGUAGCCUCGGAAAAAAUAUUGAAUCAGAACAACAGAGGUUGUGGACAUGGUAUGGUAGACAGGAACAAGAAGUCAAAGGAAAAUACAGCAUUACAUUGAAAACAAAAUCUUCCUCAAGAAAUCAGGAAAGACCAGAGGCCCAUUUUCAAUAUUCUCUCUUUUAGCUUGAAAGGAAAUGUCAAGUAAAUGUCAAUAAAGGUGGCUAAAGCACUUUUUGGAGCAGCCAUUCCUCACACAAGUCACCUUUUUCUCUGCAACCAGCACUGCCCUACUUAGAGAACAAAUCUCACUGCCAUCUUCAUUAUGAAUUUGACUGGAAACUCCACAGCACAGAGGGACUGGAAAUUUUCAGGGGCUGUCCUUUGGUCUUGGUUAGAUUCUAGCACAACAGAGCCUUAGUUUCAGAUGGAAUGCUUAGCUAUGAUGAAUAUACCAGUAGCUAAAAAAAUAUUAAUUUCAGUAAUAAUAGUACCCUUAUUCUGAUUGACCUCAAUCCAAGAAUACAAGUCCCAAAGAUACCAGAGGAAAAUUAAAACUCUCUUUUUCUAAACAGUGCUGUUUUUUGUCCUGAAAAUAGAAUCUCACAGAUACUAUAAAUACAUUCAGCAUAAUGGUUAACAGUUUCUAGCACUGCUCUGUGAAUCAUUUUAGCUAUGCUGCUGACUCCUAAAAGUAAAACCAAUUUAAUUUUAAUUUUAAUUUUAAUGUUAAUUAAUUUUGCUUGGAAAGAUUUUUCAACAUAGGGUUUGGGGUUGGUGGUUUUAUUUGUUCUG
Long non-coding RNA from Parus major (Great Tit), 9963 nucleotides. RefSeq lists it as uncharacterized. NCBI's taxonomy places the organism in Eukaryota, Metazoa, Chordata, Aves, Passeriformes, Paridae. The transcript has 3 exons. The record is from RefSeq and is a predicted model, not a curated record.